RNAcentral lists this ribosomal RNA (122 nucleotides) under Madagascaromyces intermedius. RNAcentral's name for it is "partial 18S ribosomal RNA". It matches the Rfam family "Eukaryotic small subunit ribosomal RNA", at positions 1711 to 1830 of the family's 1831-position model. The record is from RNAcentral. Lineage: Eukaryota; Fungi; Ascomycota; Dothideomycetes; Mycosphaerellales; Mycosphaerellaceae.
CGGACUGGCCCAGGGAGGUCGGCAACGACCACCCAGGGCCGGAAAGUUGGUCAAACUCGGUCAUUUAGAGGAAGUAAAAGUCGUAACAAGGUCUCCGUAGGUGAACCUGCGGAGGGAUCAUU